RNAcentral lists this ribosomal RNA (1120 nucleotides) under uncultured bacterium. Its description in RNAcentral is "bacterial SSU rRNA". It matches the Rfam family "Bacterial small subunit ribosomal RNA", at positions 353 to 1482 of the family's 1533-position model. The record is from RNAcentral.
AGUGAGGAAUAUUGGUCAAUGGACGAGAGUCUGAACCAGCCAAGUCGCGUGAAGGAAGACGGUUCUAUGAAUUGUAAACUUCUUUUGUGCAGGAAUAAAGUGGGUUACGUGUAACCUUUUGUAUGUACUGUACGAAUAAGGAUCGGCUAACUCCGUGCCAGCAGCCGCGGUAAUACGGAGGAUCCGAGCGUUAUCCGGAUUUAUUGGGUUUAAAGGGUGCGUAGGUGGAUUGAUAAGUCAGCGGUGAAAGUUUGCAGCUUAACUGUAAAAUUGCCGUUGAAACUGUCGGUCUUGAGUGCAAAUGAGGUAGGCGGAAUGUGUUGUGUAGCGGUGAAAUGCUUAGAUAUAACACAGAACUCCGAUUGCGAAGGCAGCUUACUGGGAUGCAACUGACACUGAUGCACGAAAGCGUGGGUAUCAAACAGGAUUAGAUACCCUGGUAGUCCACGCAGUAAACGAUGAAUACUAGCUGUAUGCGAUAUACCGUAUGUGGCACAGCGAAAGCGUUAAGUAUUCCACCUGGGGAGUACGUUCGCAAGAAUGAAACUCAAAGGAAUUGACGGGGGCCCGCACAAGCGGAGGAACAUGUGGUUUAAUUCGAUGAUACGCGAGGAACCUUACCCGGGCUUGAAAUGCAGAAGACCGAAGUGGAAACACUUCUUCCAGCAAUGGCUUCUGUGUAGGUGCUGCAUGGUUGUCGUCAGCUCGUGCCGUGAGGUGUCGGCUUAAGUGCCAUAACGAGCGCAACCCUUGCCAAUAGUUACUAUCAGGUUAUGCUGAGGACUCUAUUGGGACUGCCAUCGUAAGAUGCGAGGAAGGUGGGGAUGACGUCAAAUCAGCACGGCCCUUACGUCUGGGGCGACACACGUGUUACAAUGGGGGGUACAGAGGGUUGCUACCUGGUGACAGGAUGCUAAUCUCAUAAAUCCUCUCUCAGUUCGGAUCGAAGUCUGCAACUCGACUUCGUGAAGCUGGAUUCGCUAGUAAUCGCGCAUCAGCCAUGGCGCGGUGAAUACGUUCCCGGGCCUUGUACACACCGCCCGUCAAGCCAUGGAAGCCGAGGGUACCUGAAGUACGUGACUGCAAAGAGCGUCCUAGGGUAAAAUUGGUGACUGGGGCU